CGUCUCCACGCGCGGAUGGGAAUUCGGGUGCUCUCCGUCCCGCCACAGCCGCCGGGCUCUAGGGGGCGGCGAUGUCCAGCUUCCCGCCAACGAGACGGGGGGGCGCUGAGCGAGGAGCGCCGCCGCCCGGGCGCGGGCUCUGCGCAGCGCGACGGGGUCUGGGGCGGCGGCGGCGGCUCUUCCCAGCGCCCGGAGAGCGGGGCCGGCUGGGGCGAGCGGGCGGGAGGCAGGACCGCUCGGCCCCGGGGGGCCCCGGCAGGGCGGGGCGGGGCGGGGCGGGGCGGGACGGUGGCAGCCCGCCCCCGUCCUCAUCAGCCGCGGCCGCCGCCCCCCUUCGCCCCAGUCGCCAUGAGCGGAUCCAGCGGGGCCCCGGGGGGCUCCGGCCUCCUCCCGCCGCUGCCCCGGUCCCAGGCCGCCUGGCUCGGCGCGCUGGCCCUGGCCGCCCUGCUGGGGGCCGCGGUGUGGCGCUGGGCCGGGCGGCGGGCGGGCGGCUCCCGGCUGCAGCGGGUGGGGACGGUGUCCGGCCUCUUCGUCUACCCGGUGAAGUCCUGCCGCGGGGUAGCCCUGCGGCGGGCCGAGGUGACGGCGCUGGGGCUGCGCAGCGGGGCGAUGCGGGACAGGUUUUGGCUUCUAAUUAGUGAGGAUGGACAUAUGGUUACUGCCCGACAGAUGCCUCGGCUGGUCCUGAUUUCUGUAAACUGUGAAAAUGGCUACUUAACCCUGAAUGCUCCAGAAAUGAAGGAACUGCGUGUUCUAGUCAAACUCUCCAGGAAGAAUCCAGUGCACAAUUGCAGGCUGUUUGGAUUGGAUAUCCAAGGCAGGGACUGUGGAGAUGAGGCAGCUCAGUGGUUUGCCACCUUCUUGAAUACACAGUCAUAUCGACUGGUGCAUUUUGAGCCACACAUGGCCCCUAGGAAGUCCAGAGAUGUAUUCACCACUUUCCGAUCCACUGAUGAGAUUGCCUAUCCUGACUGCAGCCCGGCCAUGAUCCUUUCAGAAGCUUCGUUGGAAGAUCUAAAUACUAGACUGGAGAAGAAAGUUAAAAUACAGAACUUCAGACCAAAUAUUGUGGUUACGGGUUGCAGUGCUUAUGAGGAGGAUUCCUGGAAUAAGAUACAAAUUGGUAAUGUGCAGAUGAAAGGGACAAUGGCUUGCCCCAGGUGUAUUUUAACAACUGUUGACCCAGACACUAGGAUCAUGGACAGGAAGGAGCUACUGAAGAGGAAAACCAGAGGACUCUGAACUUGGAUUUUCUCAGAGGGAUAGGAGGAAACUUCGCCAUCCCCCAUAAAAUGUGGAUAAUGGUACUGACCUCCUUUGUAAAGCACUCUGAGAUCUAUGAUGACAAGUGCUAUAUAAAAGGUACUGGAUGUGUGAUCCCACUCUGAAGCACAACAUCUACGAAUCAGCUCCACUGUUCGGGAGUCUUUUUGGCACUGAUAAAAUUGAAAUACUUCAGGUUGGAGAUCCUGUGUACAAGAUAAUUGAAUGAUGGAAGAUACCUCUUAAUGGAGAAAUUUACCCUUUUAUUUGUCUGCAAAUAAUUAUUUUCUGAUCAUUGUUUCUAAAAUCACUGUUAGUCUCUUUUGGAUUUAGUUUUGCAUUGCACAGGCCUUUGAAAAACAUAUUAUUCUCAGUUUGACCUAACGAGUUGCCAAAACAUGCUCAGAUCAUGCUACCAGUCAAUGUGUUAAUGCUUAAUCCUGAAUUUUGCCUUCCAGCAAUAACCCAAUCUCCAUGACAGAUAUGUAAUGAAAAAUACACCUAAAAUUAAUACAAAAAUAUAUUUAAAAAUCACAUCGUUGGGGAAGUCAUGAGGCAGGAGGAGUAUGACAACUUUGUCUUACUGGAGUUUUUCUUGAAGUCCAGUAUAACCAAAAACUUUAUUUGGCGUAUAAUUUCUUGACAAUGAGAAGAUUGGAAUGGUUUUGCUUUCUUUUCCAUCUAAUUACAGCUUGGAAAAUAGGAGAAUCCAUCCCUGAGAAAUUACGCUGCAACAGCUGUAAUGUAGAAUAAGGACUAAUAGCAGCUAAAUUUACUGUUCUGGGAUAUAAAGAGCCAUGAUCUUCUCUUUUCCAUGCAUUCUUUCCCUUUCCCUAUUACACCUCUACCCCGAUAUAACGCGACCCUAUACAAUACAAAUUCGGAUAUAAAGUGGUAAAGCAGCUCUCUGGGGCGGGUGGGGCUGCGCGCUCCGGUGGAUCAAAGCAAGUUCAAUAUAACACGGUUUCACCUAUAACACAGUAAGAUUUUUUGGCUCUCGAGGACAGCGUUCUAUCAGGGUAGAGGUGUAUUUGUUCAACUCCUGCCUCUUUCCCAUACAAAUCUGUCUUCUCAAGUGUGACGUCUCUCUUAUUUGCUUCCUCUUUUUCUCAUCUUGUUCACCUUUGCUGCUUACAUUAUUCAUUCCCUUCUCUUCUCCGUACCUUGCUCUGCAGUUUCUACAAUGAUCCACAGAAUGAAAUAUAAAAACAUUAAUCAUCACAACACUGCCACGAUACAGGCAGGUACUGUACAUAUUGGCUGAAAUCCUGUCUCUGCUGAAGUCAGUGGCAAAACUCAGAUUGACUUUAAUAGGGCCAGAAUUUUACCCGUUAUGUAGACAGUUCACCAGUGAGAAAACUAUGGUGAAAAGUUUUAAGUGUCUUGACCAAGGUCACAGAAAGUAAGAGUCAGAAGCAGGGUAAGAAUGCAGGAUUCUGUUUCUCUCUGUUCUGUGCACAGCUCACUAGACAAUGGUGGCCAGAGGCUACAUUGGCUACUUAUCAUCAGAUACCUGGGCAGAAGCCAGUAGAAAACUUGCAAUGGCCCUGAAACCAUUAGCAGGUCUUGUAUGAGGACCAAGAGGUGAUAUACCAUACAACACUGAAUUGGCCCACAGUUUACCCAUAUUUGAUUUAACCAUGUCAAUGAGAUUUUGGCUCCCAAGUGCCUAAAUCACUUUUAAAAAUCAGGAUAAGGCUCCUAAAUCAGUUUAUGUUGCAACACUGAGAGCCAAAACAUCUAAAUACCUUUACAAAUCUGGGUCUCUGGCUGUAUGAGACUCUCUUAUGGUUAAUGUUUAUCAUUCUUUUAUUAACAGCAUAUUAGAAAUUACAUGGUCUAGACACACCACCAGUCAAACAGCAGUCGCUUUUAUACCACCAUCAUGCCUUAUUUAAUGAUUUUGUGCUUGUCCAAUUUAGAUUGUAAAAUCCUUGGGGCAAAGACCUGUCUGAAAUAUGACGUAUAAAGUGAGAUGCUCAUCUCUGGAACUCUAGAAACAGUAAUGGACACAUAGAAAUAACUAUUAAACUUACUACAGUGUCAGUGCCCAUGAAAGGGCAGAUCAUAUAAGCAUUUUGUAUACACUAGCACAUUUAAUAAAACUGGAAUGCAUUCCAGAAUUUUUUUCAGCCUUAACUGUGAAUUUCCUUGCAUUUGUAGGUUUAGCUUAGACUCUUAAAGGGACCCCCCCCACCCAAUCUUGAAAUUUUAGUCAACUGCAAAGAAAUGGGUUUAAAAAGAGUUUCAUGUACUGCAUCUGCCCCUGAGGCCUUGCAAACUUUUAUGGGUUUACAAUCAAAUUUUCCUAAUUUUUUUUUAAACGUUUUCCCCUCUCCUGUUGUAGUUUGAUAGACCCAUGCAAAUAGGGGAAAGUGACUCAAGAGGGAAUGCAAUGACACAGACCAUAGACAAAGUUCUGUCAAAUGCAAAGUAAGCAAACGGAAAAAUAAGUUGUAAUUUUUUUCUCUGCAAGCUACUUUUUCAAUAGGAUGAUGAAGAGUUAGUUGGGAAAAUAUAGCUUAAAAGUUGCAGACAAACAUAAUUUUAUUUUUUAAAAGGCCACCAUCAGUUUAAGUCCUGUCUCUGCACUUAGGGCAAGUCUACACUUGAAACGCUGUACAGAUGCACCGUUGUGGCACUUCAGUGAAACUACUACUAUGUCGACAGGAGAGCUUCUCCCAUUGGAGUAGUUAAUCCAUGUCCAUAAAAGGCGAUAGCUAUGUCAACGGAAGAAGCUCUCCCAUCGACACAGCACUGUCUAUACUGUGGGUUAGGUCGGUAUAACUGUGUGGCUCAGGGAUGUGGAUUUUUCACAGCCUUGAGUGCCAUAGUUGUAACUUUGUAGUGUAGACCUGGCCUUAAGCAUUUUAGUAACUGCACACAGGUAAUCCUUUGAGUUCAAAGAGUUCAUAAAGUUUCACACCUGCAUACAUUGCAGCGCCUGUGUGUUGUUUAUGAUUUAUUGUUCUAUUGAAAUGAACUUUUUUGUGUGCUGGCUUUUAGUCUCUCUCCCUCGUCCCGGCCCCAUCUCCACCCCCAUACAGUGAUGGUUCUCUGAGAUUUUUACACCUGCUAGGUCUCAGGUUGAGCUUGGUAAAUUUGUCCAUAUGUUGUUGUUUAUUUCAAUAAAAAUACCAGAUUACUUCCA
Molecule: RNA transcript, 4414 nt
Organism: Dermochelys coriacea (leatherback sea turtle)
Lineage: Eukaryota; Metazoa; Chordata; Testudines; Dermochelyidae
Gene: MTARC2
Gene name: mitochondrial amidoxime reducing component 2
Exons: 8
Source: RefSeq, a predicted model, not a curated record